GGACUUGUAAAUUUAUGUUAAAUCAUUUUAUUUUUUACAACAAAAUAACUUUACUUUGUAUGAAAUCAAGUAACUAUAAAAUACACCUUCCAUUAAGUAAAUCCAAGAAAUCUUACAGAGAGAAAAAGAAGCAUAGCAAAUUAAAGAAGGGUGAGACCACACCAGAGAAGAUAGAAGAGUCUGUUCAUAAUGGGGUUUAUUACAUUUC
RNAcentral lists this unclassified non-coding RNA (208 nucleotides) under Hevea brasiliensis (rubber tree). The record is from RNAcentral. Lineage: Eukaryota; Viridiplantae; Streptophyta; Magnoliopsida; Malpighiales; Euphorbiaceae.